This 350-nucleotide long non-coding RNA is filed under the name Vigna radiata. Its description in RNAcentral is "long non-coding RNA (VRAD_LNC011420)". Lineage: Eukaryota; Viridiplantae; Streptophyta; Magnoliopsida; Fabales; Fabaceae. The record is from RNAcentral.
GGGAAAUUCCNUGAUUAAGAAAUACCACCUAGGGAUAGGGGGUAGGACGAUCAAUUGUUUUCGCUUCCAUUUAUAAUGCAUUAUUAAUUACAAGGGGAGGCUAGGGAUAACAAGCCAGUAAUUAGUAAUAGGCUCUUUUCGUCGAGGGAUCAAGUUUAGGGUAUACUAAGAAAGUUUGCAUGACAAUAUGAUGAUAAAUCGAAUCUAAUAAGAAUAGUAGAUUUAUGAGAGUGAUUGGGUGAAAUCUAAAUCCUAGCAACAAAUCCAUCUCAUUUUAUCAACAUCAUUCAUCCACUUUUGUGUUUAACCUCAAUUGACAAAUUGCAUUCAUGUUUAUUUUUCCGCACUUU